CAGCGCUACCUGCGUCCUUGGUGUUGCUCAACUGGGCUUGGCUUUCACCACUGAGAAAAUUGCAGCUUCGUUCUCGUGUUGAAGCGCAAACAGAAUCUCGAGAUUACAAUCCCUUGUCGAAUAGUGAUGGAGAUAUGAUAUCUAGCACAGACCGUCUGACAGAAUUUGAUGUUUUAUCUUCUUCGUUUUACUGUGGAGCUACAAGAAAAUCUGGAGUUAUGAACAGUGCUAUUAAGUUCAUCACAACGCCAUUUGUUUGCGUAUUUUUCUGUCAUUUCUACAACGUCGUCAGUCUAGAUGAUGUUCAUGCUAACCAAAUUACUAACGGUCUUGGAAUAUAUUCUAGCUAUAUAUGGGUUAAUAUUCUUUGUAGUUUCGGAGUAUAUCUCUUGGGUUCCCUAUCUUGUAUGGUUGGUAUACAACGUCAAGCAUUUGCCUUACCUUUAUUACUUGUCACUCCAGUUUGCAUAUUUCUGUCAUCGGUACAUUGGGCGUGCGAGUCUUCCACAAUCCGCUCGUCUUGUGGUCACGUCAUCGGUAUACAUCAUUAUCAUGUGCUCAUUAUUGCUGCGAUGUUGUGGAUUGGCCUUUUAGCGUAUGUGAUUGUAUAUAUUUGGAAAAGACAGGAAGAAACGAUGGUUCCAGAAAAAGAGUUAUUCACAAUUCCUUACACUUACAACGGUAAGAAUAUUCUUCAUUCCUGUAGAUCACAUCUGCACAGGGAAGCAUUGCUGAAAAUUGCGUUACGUGCUGGUGUCUAUAGAAAUGUCAGUUUCUGGCCUCCGAAUAGAAAAAGUGACCCUUUUAAGACUUUGUUGUACCCUACGGGUAGUCGGAAU
This is a non-coding RNA of Paramuricea clavata, 839 nucleotides long. NCBI's taxonomy places the organism in Eukaryota, Metazoa, Cnidaria, Anthozoa, Malacalcyonacea, Plexauridae. The record is from the annotation of a GenBank genome assembly.